Prosopis cineraria is the source of this 1939-nucleotide long non-coding RNA. RefSeq lists it as uncharacterized. NCBI's taxonomy places the organism in Eukaryota, Viridiplantae, Streptophyta, Magnoliopsida, Fabales, Fabaceae. The record is from RefSeq and is a predicted model, not a curated record. The transcript has 6 exons.
GCCUCAUCCUAAUAAAAAAGUUCUCUCUUCUUUCAUUCUUUAAAAAAAGCGGAUGAUGAUGAUAGCCUCGAGCUUCGUGGAUUAGUUGUAUUAUUUCUGGGUAGAGGUAGCUUUGAGUGAAAUAGCAGGAAAUCUUGAGAGCACAGAUAUUGAUUGCACAAAUCUCGGUUGCUCCAAAGGUUGCUCUUUUGAAAUCAAUUUCCAUUGCACUCGGGCCCUUGCUUUCAUUCUCAGGACAACACAAAUCUCUCUUUCUCCCUUAUGAUCAUCUGUUCUGGCUUUAACCGCCUUCGUCCACUGUCGUUGGUGCUUGUGAUUGGACCCUUAAACUGGACGAGCAAGUUUGCUCUCUAUUCUUCAGGGAGAGAGAUUUCGGUCCCAAGUCCUUGUCCGUGUAAUCCAGCUGCUUCUUAACGAAGGCGGUACAUGGAGACCUAGGUUUGAGACUGUUUCAAAGCCCAAAUUGGAUUUCUUUGCUUCGAUCCUCCUCCUAAAUAGAAAAGCUUCGAUCUAAUGCUUGAGAAGUUGAGAAACUCAUGGGUAUGGUAUUUAUUCCAUAGCCAUCGGGCUUUUGCUUGUCGUGUUCUCGUGGGUAACCCCUUGACUCAAAUUGACACGGUGUUCGUCACUGCUUGGAGGAAAAGGGCAUUUACAGCUGCCCUUUAAUUCAUUGUCGAUCUUCAACAGUAGGGAAGAAGAAGAGCUAUGAUCAAAAUAUUCACAGCUUGCUCAAAAAGAACGAUAUCAAAGUUUGAUAAACUUCUUGAAGUAGCAGAGAGCAAUAAUGAAUAGAAGUCAAUUGAAUUUUUCAACAUAGGAUAUGGAAUAUUAUGAGUUCUUGAAAGAGCUUGAUGAGGAACUUCUACAAUUUGAUGACGAUGUUGAAAUGUAAUAAAACUUCAAAUUUAUCAUGCAAGAAUGAUUGAGUUUGUGAAAACUGUGGCAACAAUGGUUACACAUUGCUAAGAGAUGUACAUAUUGGAAUACUUAGCAGCAGGAUAACACCACAAAGUGCAAAUGUAUUUGGUAUUGCCUUUGUAAGAGGUUACUAAUGGGGACAGAACUCAUGACAGCAGGUGUUCAAGAAGAUAAUGAUGAGUUUCCAUAAGUUCUAGCUGGCUGUGAGUCAUAUCCAUCAUCCUUACUGAAUAAUAGGGGAAAGGCAUUGAGAAAACAUAAUGAUAAAAACAUUAUUAGUUAUUUAGUCACCGCAAGUGUUUCUAAUUGUAAAUUACAAUUGAUGUUCAAGUUAGUGAUAUUGCAAAGGUUACUAGGUACUUUUGUUGAAGAUGAUGGAUCAACCAUAGAUGGUAUAUGAUAACAAUUCAGAGUAAGACUUAGAUUUUAAGCGGCUAGAUCAAGUUAGUCUUGUAAUAUUCGUAAGUGAGACUCUACAUCUGGGUGGCAUCUUAUGCUUGAUUGUUAACUCAGAAUUUUUCCUUGGUACCUUGUCUUUCAAAGGGAGUUAUCCGUGGAUGUUAAGAUUGGAGUAAUUGCCAAAAGGUUAUACAUUAGGAUUUUAGCCAGAAUUUCUAAUUAAGAAACAUCACUUGCAAGAGUUACUUGUGUUAUAUUGUUUAUAGACUGACAGAUUUCUUUUUGUAUGCCAACACAAUUGUAAUGCCUAGUGAUGGUAAGGACCUGUUUCUGUCAUCUUCACAUCAUAAAUUUCACCCUUUCUGGCUUGCAAUUUCUGAUUUUUCUUGAUCAGGAAAAUUAAUUCCUCGCUAUUCGAACAAGAUGUUGCCUAAAAGUACGUGUUUGCAAGCAUUGUUCUUGAAUCAAUGAUUCUUUAGAAGCUUCACCAUGAAAGGGGGGAAUUUGAGCAUUUGUUAGAAUAAUUUCUUCUAUUUAUUUUUUGUACAAAUAAUUUCUCCAAUUUUCAAGCUUUGUCGUCGUCAUUUCAAACUUUUUACUUUGUAGUAAGAGUCAAAAACCA